This is a long non-coding RNA of Balaenoptera acutorostrata (minke whale), 4827 nucleotides long. RefSeq lists it as uncharacterized. The record is from RefSeq and is a predicted model, not a curated record. NCBI's taxonomy places the organism in Eukaryota, Metazoa, Chordata, Mammalia, Artiodactyla, Balaenopteridae. The transcript has 4 exons.
GUGGCGAAGGAUUCGGCCUUUUACAUCCGGGAAGCGUCGAGUUUAGGUUAAGGUACGGCGUCGUGUUUCGUGCGCUAAAAUACUUGAGACAGAACUUUUCGGCCAAGUUUAAAAUGCAGGAGAUGCAACAGUCUUGUAGAAGUAGAUCGACGUCAGCUUGGAAAACCUCUAGGUUCAAACGCCUGAGUGGACUUAAAUGUUCAUUGAUUCUCGGAGCAGCCACGUUCAGCCGGGGGCGCUGAGUCGGAAAACUAGCGCGCGUGGGCCGUGGGCCUUCCGGCAAAGUUUAAAUGCAGCUGAUGACUCCGGUGAAGAAGGUCGUUAGUUCCGCUGUUGGUGUCAUGUGGCCAUCUUGAAUCUACUCCGCCACUAUUAAAUAGUAACACCGCAUCCUGAUAACCCGCCAGUUUGAUCCAGGUGGAAGCUGAGCUAAUUGUUCCAAUGGAUGAUGGAAAACAUAACAAGAAGUCAAGAAAUCCAAAGCGAUAUGGGUGAAGUCUUACUUAGCAUCCUGAAGUACACUGCCAAAUGUGAUUUUAAAUCUCAAGUAUGGUAUUUAAAUGGAGAAUAAAUAAGUGCUUCCUUGCUAUAUCAAUAAAAUGCUUGAUUUGUACAGAUGUCAGUGUUCCCUGACUGAAUGACCAAUAAGUGCAAAGGUAACUACAAGUAGUGAACAGGCUGUCUCCUGUUCCACUGUUGUGGAGCUCGAGCAGAAGUAACAUGAAUUAAUAUUGUUGUGUAAGGUAUUAUUUGGGGAAAACUCUUACACAUAAAAACCAGUUUACCCCUGAGGAAGAGAGCAGGGUCAUUUAAUACCACACAGAAGAUUAAGGAAACUGCACGGUGAAAAGCUAUGCACUUUAUUUACACAGAUGUGCACUGAACACUUGCAUCUUUAAAACUCACACUUAACAUUUAACAAGAAAAAAAAUUAAGCUAUAAUAAAGGCAUAUUUUAUGAACCAAGCAUUCUACCUCAAGGUUGAGCAAACUGCAGGCCAUCUGUUGACAAUCUGUUCUUUAAGUUUGCCAUCCUCUGGUCUAGUUAAAAAGCCAAUAUAAAUGUUUGCAUCAGCACUGUAGUUCAAUUACAAGGAUGGCCCAUGAGAAACUUUCAGGAAGAUAAAUUUUCUGGUUUUUCCCAAGCCCUUGUGCACCGUCCAUAGCUGUCAUCUCUAUAUGUAAAUGCAGAGUUUUUCCUUUAUCAAAGUCAUGAGUGUUUAGAAAACGUUUUAAUGCUAUUCUACUUGAACUGCAUUGCAGUUCUGCAAAGUAGUAAACUAUAAAGCACUUUCAGGUUAGCACCAGUUUUUUUACAUAGCUCAGAAUUUACAAAAGGGAUGCAAUAUGAUACAGAAGGGAAAGGGAUGGAGGUGAAGUCCCUCCAUGGUGAGUUAGCCAUUUAAGAGGAUUACUUAAGCAUUCUUAAUCCUAUAGUUUGCACUUCACCUUUUUUUACUACCUGGGAUUUUGGGAAGGACUCAUGAUAGCAGUCAUGUCACCUCUGAUAAGGAUUACUCAAGUAUCCUGAGGGCUUAGCUUUUAUAUUUGGGCAAAGAUUUUGUGCUGCUACCAAGAAUGCCCUGUAGGACACAUAAUAAGCAGCUAUCCCUUAACUCCUUUGGGAAACAGCCAGAGGGAAAACUUACCUUUAGACAGGAGAACCAUGGGUUAGAGGGGUGGGAGGAGAUGCUCUUGUCUGCAUUGGGACUCUUCCUGUUCUGGAGUUUGGAUUCAAAGCCUUUCAACAGCUGUCUCAUCUUGGCCUCUGCCUGUUAACCCAUUUGAAAACUAGAAAUACUAUAAAAUCUUACCUACCUUUUAUAAAUUGUCAAUGAGGUGCAUAGCCACCUAGCACAUAAGUGGUAUAUGGAUUAAACAUAACAGUUAUUUUAGACUUUCCCAUACUAUUGACAGGGAAAGCAUUUUUAAGUCUAUUUUUAUUAGAUGGGACUGUAUCAGGAUAGUCUGCAGGUUUAAGUUAGUUACCAGAAAGUUGCAAUAGGUGGCACUCUUAAAUCAUGGUCGGGAAAACAGUGUGAUGCUAAGGAAAAAAACAUUUUUGUUUUACCAAGCUGUAAAUUUGAAGUGAUUAAAAGUAAUCAAGCAGAUUGAAUUAGGUUGUGCAUUAAACAAUUUGAAGGCAUUCUUUAUUAUGUUAUCAGGAAUGCUGAAUUGUGCUAACAACAUACAAGGUAGCUAGAAUGUUUUUCUCUUUAGUUGCCAUAGUGCUUGGUACAAAGGCUUCAUUCAGGAAUGUAUUGUGACAAUGAUAUUCCUUUCCAGUCUGUUUAUAAUAGAAUUCCUUUAUCUUUUUUGGCCUUCAGUUUUCUCACGAAAGGCCAGAAAGAUGUGGUCUGAUUUUUUUUAUCAGCCUAAGGAAAAAAAUCUGAGCUUAAGAAAUUACAUGAACAGAAAACAAUGCCACUCUUAUUUUGAGUAUAGUAAAGAGUAUUUUCUUUGUGUGUCAAAUGUAGGCUCUUUAUAUGAAUAUAUACCAUACUGAUUCAGUUAUAAAGGAGUUCUCAAUCCAAAUAAAUGUAAAAACAGCCUGACUGCACAAUCAAUAUACAAAAGUCUGGAGAAUGCUGAGAAAUAGGCAGAGACAAGACUCAUAAGAAUAAUGAAUUUAGUGUCCAUUAAACUAAUUUGGGUAGGCGACAAUGCUAAAUAAGGAUAAUGAUUACUACACUGAGGUAUCUGUAACCAAAAUGUUCACAUCACACAUUCUCAAGCAGCAAAGGGGUACACAGUUCUUAUCACAACACAAAACACAGAAAUACGGAUCUCCACUCCCAUUAGUUGGCAUCUGGCUAAAUGCUAAUGUUGGAAAGUUUCCAACAGAUUCUUUAAAUAUUUUCUUGAGGUUUCCAUGAAGGAUUACAGUUUGGUGACACUUUUUAUCCAAGGUACAAAGGCUGAGACUUUGGUAUAAACACCAGGGGAAUCCUUGACUCCACAGCCAUAUCCCCAGGAGGUCACCCCAUAUACAACCCAGCUCUCUCCUGGCCGUUCACACAUGAGUGGUCCUCCGCUGUCUCCCUGGCAGCUGUCCACACGUUUGUGUUCAUGGAGGUUUCCAGCACAGAGCAUCCUUCCUGUAAAUCGACCCUUAUAACGGUCUUCACAAAACCUCUUGGGAAGUAAGGGGAUGGCUGCUUGUUGUAGAGUUCUUGAGUAGGCUCGUCCUAUGCAGGCCAAAUAAUUGAAUUAGAUUUCAGGUAAAGAUCGUAGCAAAAAGAGCUACAUUUAACAGUUUAAUGAACAUUUAAUAGCCCUAUUAAAAAGCCCUAUUGUGGCAUUAGUGUAGUUUAAGUGAGUGAUAACUAUAAAUGGUAUUUUUUUUAUUGUUUGCACUUAACCAUACUCUAACCCUUCACUAUUCUGUUUCUCAGUACUGCAUUUUUUGAAGAAUACUUUUAGUAACACUUACGGACUUGCCCAGUAGAAAAAGGUAACCUACAGAAAGCACAUUUGUGCAGGCUUUAGAAUUUGAAUUCUCUAUAUUAAAACAGUGAGGGUGUAUUCAUGCUGGUUCUGUAUUAGCAAAUCCACUGCUCUAGGACUCAUCUACUUCACUGACUUUUGAGGAUUAAUUAUAAAUAACAAUUCUAUAUAAGCACAUAAGGUGGCAAUUACUAUCCUCAAGAGAAACAUGGUAUUUCAUAAAGAUGAUUCAGAAACAACAUUCUUACAUAGAAACAGGCUGAAGUUUAACCACUUGUUAACGUAUUCUAUUUACUAGUAAGCCACUCAUUCUCUGUUUAGUGGCUAAAAUGUAUAAUUGAUAGGUUCUCCAUGAUAGCCUUUUCUUGGAUCUAAACUCCACAUUAUUCUCCAAUCCAAUUUACUCAACUGGAGUGAUUCAUCCAUAAUAAAACAUUCCGUAAAAUUUACUUUCUUUGUCAUCUCUAUUCAGAUGUAGUGUCUAAAGGGAGGUGAUUGAUUCACUUCCCUGAUGAAGUAAUAAUUCCAGCAGCUGUACUCCAGCCUUCAGUUUGCCUCACAGAUCAGCAUAGCGUCGUGAGAAGGCAUGUACUCUGCCCUGAUUCUAUUAUAUCAUCCAGGAAAUGUUUCCACUUAAGGUUUAUCUCAGGAUUGGUCGCAGAGCUUUUUCAGUACUGUAUAUCUGCUACAGAUGUUCUACAUUUUGCUGCUAUGAAAUAACUGUUAAUUACUUUUAAUGGAGAGCAGUCAACCCAAUCAUUUCUCCUUAGUAGUCAUUUGUGAGUCGAGCCCUAAUCCAGGUGAGACCUAGAUGUUUCGAAGACCAUCCUGAGCAAGCACUAGCUGAUGUUAACUCUAGCAAGACAAUACAGAAAGCUGUUCGCCUGAGAAGAGCACAAGCUGAACACCAUCCUGCUCGGGGACGGGGCAGGUGGGAAGAAUAGAAGGGGGUUGUGGAAGGAGAAACCCAAGUGAGCUGGAUCCCUCCACUUGAACCUCAGCAGCUCUGAUUUUUGUUCUUCAUUUAGGAAUUCUGCAUAAGAUUUACUUUGAUAAAGGGCUCCAUUACAAAGAAACCAUCAAACACCAAAGCCCUUUGCUGGGGUAGCUACAUCAAAGUCAUUAGGAAAACUUUUUAACAUAGAGACAGCUAGGCGCAAGUCCUGAGUAGGGUCCAAGUUCUAAUGGGAACCACAAUACCCUCAGGGUAUGAAUCCAGAUUACAUGCAUGCAUCUCACACAUGGUGGAAUUUCCAAACAACUAAGCCUGAAACCCUUUUAAGAUUUUGCUACCCUCUGUACACCCAGAUGUAUGGACAAUCCCAGACACAAGCAGGUGCCCAGAUUUUAAUUGUUUCUUUGGGUUAUUUGUUACCUGUGU